AGAAAAUUAUUGCGGCAUGAAAUUUGUCCUUCUAAAACAACUCAGUUUGACGCAGCAGCACUGUAAGAUUAGGGUCAGAGUUAGUAGAAUAUGGGAAUCAACGACGCCGCUGAAUAAGAAUAAUAUUUUAAGCUUAGACUGUUUGCUCAUAGAUGAUGAGGAAUAUGCGAUGCAGGCUACUGUUCGGAAAUACGAUGCAGAACACUUUAGGUCGGUGCUUUCCGAAGGUACUGUGUACAUCUUUGAAAACUUCAAUGUUGUGCCGAGCAGAAAUAAUUAUAAAGUCGUUGAUCGGAAAUAUAUGGUGCAAAUAAGUAAAUGGACGCGUGUACUCAAAACAAACGACGCUGUCAGUUCUAUUCCGCUUCACAGUUUUUACUUCAUCGACUUUGGUCACGUGAAAACCAAAAAAUAAAAUGAUGGUUGCCUGAUAGAUGUUCUCAGUAGUGUUACAUCUAUUGCUCCUCUUUCGCAUACAUAUGUUGCGCAAGAACUAACUGCAAUUAGGAAAUUAGAAAUCCGAGAUAUAGAUGAUCAGGUUAUGUCGGUAACGUUAUGGGACAAGUUUGCUCUCUAUUUUGACGACGAUCUUCUCAAGCAAAAAGAAGUUAAUGGACCAGUUGCGAUUGUUUUGGCAAGUAUGACUGUACGCACAUAUCGAGAUAAUGUUUACCUAUCAACUUGCCCAGCAUCAAGACUUUACCUUAAUUUAGAAAUACCAGAAGUUGUACAAUUCGAGAGCAAUCU
This is a long non-coding RNA of Ananas comosus (pineapple), 747 nucleotides long. RefSeq lists it as uncharacterized. The record is from RefSeq and is a predicted model, not a curated record. The transcript is spliced from 5 exons. Lineage: Eukaryota; Viridiplantae; Streptophyta; Magnoliopsida; Poales; Bromeliaceae.